Molecule: non-coding RNA, 84 nt
Organism: Dentipellis sp. KUC8613
Lineage: Eukaryota; Fungi; Basidiomycota; Agaricomycetes; Russulales; Hericiaceae
Source: the annotation of a GenBank genome assembly
GGCGCUGUAGUGUAGUGGUUAUCACUCGGGAUUUUGAAGAUAAUGAAGCUUCCCGAAACCCAGGUUCGAACCCUGGCAGAGCCU